This 292-nucleotide ribosomal RNA is filed under the name uncultured bacterium. Its description in RNAcentral is "partial 16S ribosomal RNA". It matches the Rfam family "Bacterial small subunit ribosomal RNA", at positions 505 to 796 of the family's 1533-position model. The record is from RNAcentral.
GUGUCAGCAGCCGCGGUAAGACAGAGGGUGCAAACGUUGUUCGGAAUCACUGGGCAUAAAGCGCACGUAGGCGGUCCGUUAAGUCAGAUGUGAAAGCCCCCGGCUCAACCGGGGAAUUGCAUCUGAUACUGGCGGGCUCGAGGAUGGCAGGGGUGAGCGGAACUCCAGGUGGAGCGGUGAAAUGCGUAGAUAUCUGGAGGAACACCGGUGGCGAAAGCGGCUCACUGGACCAUAUCUGACGCUGAGGUGCGAAAGCUAGGGUAGCAAACGGGAUUAGAAACCCCCGUAGUCC